UACGUGGGGUGCGAGCGUUGUCCGGAAUCACUGGGCGUAAAGGGCGCGUAGGCGGUUUGAUAAGGGUGUGGUGAAAGUCCGGGGCUCAACCCCGGAUCUGCCGUGCCGACUGUCAAACUCGAGGGCUGUAGAGGCAGACGGAAUUCCGGGUGUAGCGGUGGAAUGCGAAGAGAUCCGGAGGAAGACCGGUGGCGAAGGCGGUCUGCUGGGCAGUUGCUGACGCUGAGGAGCGAAAGCGAGGGGAGCAAACGGG
This 253-nucleotide ribosomal RNA is filed under the name uncultured bacterium. RNAcentral describes it as "partial 16S ribosomal RNA". It matches the Rfam family "Bacterial small subunit ribosomal RNA", at positions 524 to 776 of the family's 1533-position model. The record is from RNAcentral.